Lolium perenne is the source of this 253-nucleotide non-coding RNA. NCBI's taxonomy places the organism in Eukaryota, Viridiplantae, Streptophyta, Magnoliopsida, Poales, Poaceae. The record is from RefSeq and is a predicted model, not a curated record.
CGCUGCUGGUCUGGGGGGAUGCCCUCCUUGUCCUGGAUCUUCGCCUUGACGUUGUCAAUGGUGUCCGAAGACUCCACCUCAAGUGUGAUGGUCUUGCCGGUGAGGGUCUUGACGAAGAUCUGCAUACCACCACGCAGGCGGAGCACCAGGUGGAGGGUGGACUCCUUCUGGAUGUUGUAGUCAGCCAGUGUGCGGCCGUCCUCGAGCUGCUUGCCAGCGAAGAUGAGGCGCUGCUGGUCUGGAGGGAUGCCCU